AUUUAUUUAUGUGUUAAAUUAGGUAUACAGAUACAAUGUAGGUAUUAUCAAUGUUUAAUGUUUAGUGCAUGCAGUGAGAAAAAUAGGUCUCUUCUCUCGUAUAUUUCAAAAUUUUCUUGUAUGCAAUUACAGGUCUAUUCUUGAAUGAAUUUUGUUCUAAAAACUGAUAUAUUAUGUAUAAUCUAGUCUCAUUCAUUUAAAAUUUUACUCAUUGUGUCAACGUUGUUUCCUGUGAUUACAAUAAAUCUUGUGCACAAUAUCGAAAAUUGUGAAACACUUUAUUUAAUUUACGAAGGUAUUUUAUUUCAUUUUAAAAUGAAUAAAUCAAGUGUUAUUUGUGAUUUUUUUCAACUUGAAGCAGUUAAUAUUCAUGUAAAGUGUGGACUUUGUCGUAUAAAAUUAAAAAAUAAUCAUUCUUCGACUUAAAAUUUAAUUAGACAUAUUAAAUCUAAGCAUCCAUUAGUAAAUUUAUUAAAUAUACUCAUGUAAUAGAAGAGAUGAUUGAUGACCCAAAUAUUACUCUAUCAACUUCUAUUUCUUAGUAUACACUGAGUCACAGUACCAUGGCACACUGAUUCAGAUCAUUCAGUUCACUUAAAAGAGUUAACUCACUCAUGAACUACCCAUCCUUAUGAUAUACAGAAAAAAUAUCAUGAAGAUAUUCCAAAAGAGUGAAUUAGGGAUGACAAAAUAGCAAAGGAUACCUCAAAUCCUCAAACAAUUUAAUAUUGUAGAAACUAAAUUAUGUUAUUAUCAAGAUACACAUUUUUUAAUAAACAUAUAUUUACUAAUUUAUGACAACAAAUAUUAAAUAAUUAGACAUAAAAAUUCCAUACUAAAUAAUCAGUCAUCCUUUUCCAUUUUCCUGUAUAAAAGUAGAAAUUCUUCAACACACUUGAUGUUGCUGAUAAAUAAAUUAAGUUUAAAAUAUACAUAACUGCUUCAAUAUAAUUAUGAAAAUUUCUAAUGUACUUUUAUACUUAAUUUUGAAAUUUUUAUGUACGUAACAUAAGAACUAAAAUAUAAAUUGAUUUAACAACUAAAGAAUAUAUAAAUAUACUCUAAAUUAUUGUAGAUUGAGUAUAAUAUAAUAAAUUAAACAACUUGAAGUGUUCUAUAAAUAAAUAUCACUUUUAUACCAGAUUUUAAAUCAAUUCCAAACAACUUUAUUUUAUUAAUUUAACCAACAGUGGAUAAUGUUAGAGGAAUAAAAAAAGCAAACUGCGAAUAAUAACAACAUAUUUAAGAACAUAUAAUUAUUUUCCUUUGUAUUGUAUGAAAAAUUAACUUAUUCAAAAAGAAUAAUACCAUAAAAAUGAAUACAAAAAUUUUUUACUAUUAUUACAAUUUAAUAUUUAGCACCUCGAUACUUAGGCUUAACUCUAAUAUUGUCUUGUAAGUAUAAAUAAUCAGUCCAUCUUCUUUUAAACUACAAGUAUAGAUCAUUAUUUGCUUUCUCUUAAUAUAGAACCAAUUUUUUUAUGUGCAUAUUCCAAACAUCUAGCUAACUCUGGACUACAACCAUUUUCAGCAAUAGUUUUGAAGCGAUAGGUACGGAAUAUAUUGUCUUCAAUAAAAGUAACAGCAUUCAUUAAUGGACAUAAUAUAACUUUAGUAUGAUCUGUGAAAUUAAUCUAGAAAAAAUAUAAACACUUAUUCAAAUAAAUAAAAGUUUAAUGAUAUUAAAAAUUUAUAAAUUACCUGUAAAGUGCCAUUAGUAAGCUGCAUAAUAACUGAUGUUGUAGAUCUAUACCAUUGAAACAUGUAAGGAGUACGACUCAAUUGAUCUGCAUCUUUUGCUAACAUAUCCGCCCCAGCUUUAAUAAGAUGAUCAUUCAUGUAACGUCUAAAGUACAUUAGUAACUUCAUUUUUUUUUCUAAUGUUGGGGGUGUAUGUUCAGUGGUAUAAUAUUGUUCAGAACCGUUUCUUUCUAUGUAAUGAACGUCGCUGGAUAAGAAUUAAAAUAAAAAUUAACUAUUAAACCUUCUACAACUACAAUUAUUGUAUUACUUAAAAUUAGCUAGAAGCACAAUACGAGUGAAAUCAUUGAACAUAACACCUACACAAUCAUCUGAUAACUCAUAACCAAAGCCAUAUUUAUCUGAAUAAUCCACCCAUUUACUGACCCAUAUAAGAGGUUGAGCAGCUGGAUCUGUGUUUUCUUCUAAAAAAAAAAAAAUAUACUCUGUAUAACAAAUAUGAGACAAAUUUUAAAUAAAACAAUCUAAACUAAACUAUUUACAACUAAUUGAAAAAUAUUUUUUCUUUAUAUGUUUACAGAAAAAAGACAAAACAACUUGAUUUUUUUUGAAGACAUUGUCAUUUCUAAUUUACAUGAUAUAUAAUUUUUUAAUUAGUUCUAUUAAUUAUUUUUAUUUUGAAUAUCAAUAUAUAAUAUCAAAAUACUUCUAUUAGUUGAGAGUACUGAUUUAUAGUUUAAAUGUUGUUAACAUCUACCUAAGUUUACUAACAAUAUAUUAGGCCAGAUCUUUACUACAUUUAAUUUUGAGGUCCAGUCCAUUGAUUACCUAGGCAUCUUACCUAGGUCAGUUAAUGUGUCAUGCUUUGGUGUGUACAGGUACCUGAACCAGGGUUUAAUACCAUAGGACUAGGCUAUAUUAGUGUUCUCAUUUCUUCUUUAAAUGCAUAAAAGGUAAUAUAAUUCUUUUUUCAAAAGUUAAUAAUAUCUUACAUUCUAUAAUUUUCAACAAAAAUUUUAAUCGUAAUCCUUUAAAAUGUUAUCAACUUUUGUUUUUUAAAUGGAAACCUAUAUUUUUAAUGAAGUCACAAAAAAGAAAAUGACUAGUCUAUAACAAUUUUUGAAGCAGUAUUAGCACUUUUAUAGUAAGAUGAGAGGAGUAGCUUGGUUCAGACAUGUUUAGAGAUAAAAACAGACCCAAUCAUAACCUCCAAUCUUUAUGGUAAAUUAAAGUGUAAAUAAUUUCCAAAAUACUAAUUCAAAAUUUCUUGACUUAUACCAACUUCUUAGAUUACUUUUACAUUUGUAAACUGGUUAAUGUUGUUUCCAUUUAAAGAAAAAGAUUUUUUUUUGAAAAUUAUAAAAUAAAUUAUUUUUUAUAUUUUUAAAGACAUUGAAUGAGUCAUACUUAAAGAUUUACCUUGUAUAAAAUACAAAUGAUUAAAUCAUUAAGAUAAAAUAUUUACCCAUAUUUUUCAUUCCUUUCAUAGCAGGUCGAGUUUUUAACAGAUUUCCUAAUUCUCUUUCUAAUGAUAUCAUGUAUUCUCUACAUUCAGUAACAGAUACACCAUUACCAUCAGCUGCUCUAUAACCAUGAGUUACACUAAACAUAGGCGGUUUAUUUACUGGAUCCUGAGGCUUAGACAUAGUUUUAAUAGAAGUAGCUUUUGGACUAUUGAGUUCUGAAAAAAAAAAAUAUAUAUUUUAAGUAGAUAAAAUCUACAUAUCCAAUAAAUAUAUAUUUAUCUUAUAAUUAUAUUAUAUUAUUUCAAAUAGCAACUAAAAAAAUAUAAUACAAUAAUAAUAGAAAAAAAGUAUUUGGCACCUAGUAAAAUUAAUAAAGUUAUACCAUUAAGAGGUCGACGAUUAGAAAUAGACUCUCUAUAAUUAAUUGAAUCAAAUCGAGGGGCCAUUGUUAAACAAGAGGGUGGCAAUCUCUUCGGCAUAUAGCCAGUAGUAAGAAAAUCAGCUUUCAUAAUAUCAGAAAUAGUAGGACGUUUUUUUGGAUCCGACUGAAGCAUCUUACAGAUAAGUGUAGUAGCACUCUUAUUAAUAUGAGAAGGCACGUUGUAAUCACACCUUGUAAUUCUUGCAUAGGUUUCUUUGAGGGAAUUAGUUUCAAAUGGAGGUUUUCCUACUAACAGAGUAUACCUUAAGAAAAAAAAAUUGUUGAUUAAAAUUUAAAUUGUAUUAAUAGAUGAUGUUUAAAUAACAUACAUAAUGCAACCUAUAGACCAUACAUCUACUUCAAAACUAUGACCAGUUUUAGUUAGAAUUUCAGGAGCAAUAUAAUUUGGAGUUCCACAUAAAGUUCUAAAUAAAAUACAUUUCAACUUUAACAAUUGAUAAAAAUACAUUAAAUCAUAAAUUAUAUAUACAUAAAUAUUAUAUUACUUUUUGCGUUGUCCAUCAUAUUCUAUUUUAGCAGCUAAACCAAAAUCUCCUAAUUUCACUUCCAUUUCAUCAUUCAAAAACAAAUUUCCUAGUUUUAAAUCUCUAUGAAUAAUACCUUGAUUAUGUAGAAAUAAAGUACCUUCAAGUAUUUGGUAAACAUAGUAUCUUGUUUCAGGUUCAGUGAGUGUUUUUCUCCUUCUAUAAUCAAAAAUUAGAAAAUGAUCAAUAAAAUAUAUUAGUAAUCAAAAAUUGAUAAAAAAAAAAUUGGCAUUGAAUGAGAUAUGGAACUUAUAUUGUGAAUGUAGUCAUAUUUGAAGACCUUGGACAAUGUGGUAUUAUUUCAUCAAAUCCACUCCAAAUUUAUCAAAAAAAUUCAACGAUUGAUAUUUAACUGUGUAACAAUAGCAAGAUAUAUCUCAACAAUAAUUUAUUGCUUUUUAACUUAUUAUUAAUUAAGCAUUAUUUAUGAGUUAAUAUAUUUUAAUAUGUAUAUAUAUAUUAUAUAAUAUGAAAUCUACUGUACUUAAUUAAAUUUUUGGACUCAAAAAAAUGUUUUUUUUUACUUCCUGAACCAGUGUUGUAUUUUCAAAAAAAAAUUUAUACCAAUUUUGCCUCUGACCUAAAAAAUGGAGAUGUCUUGUGUUAUUUCAAUAUCUUCAAUUUAAAAUAAAACUGAGGACACUGUACUAUACAUUGUUCUUAAUUGGCUCUUUUGUACUUUUUUAAAAUAUAAAAUUUUUACAAUUAAAUGCUGAUGUUCAAUGAAAAAAAAAAGAAAUUCACAGUAAAACCAAUACUUUAUUAGCUUUUAAAACCAAAAAGAAAAUUUUUCUUUGUACACCUGAGAAAAUGUUGUGGUUAAUGGUCACUCAAGUUCAAAUUUGUUUCAUAUAUGCAUGUAGAUAAAUAUUCUACUGAAUGAAUUCUUCUAUUUAAUUAUUGCAAUUCAAAGAAUAAGAUAAUCCUGCUGUAUAUAGGUAGCAACUGACAUUAUAUUUACUUUUUAUUUAUUAAUUGAUAG
Long non-coding RNA from Daktulosphaira vitifoliae (grape phylloxera), 5115 nucleotides. RefSeq lists it as uncharacterized. The record is from RefSeq and is a predicted model, not a curated record. NCBI's taxonomy places the organism in Eukaryota, Metazoa, Arthropoda, Insecta, Hemiptera, Phylloxeridae. The transcript has 4 exons.